GGAGCUUGCUCCCUGAGAUUAGCGGCGGACGGGUGAGUAACACGUGGGCAACCUGCCUAUAAGACUGGGAUAACUUCGGGAAACCGGAGCUAAUACCGGAUACGUUCUUUUCUCGCAUGAGAGAAGAUGGAAAGACGGUUUACGCUGUCACUUAUAGAUGGGCCCGCGGCGCAUUAACUAGUUGGUGAGGUAAUGGCUCACCAAGGCGACGAUGCGUAGCCGACCUGAGAGGGUGAUCGGCCACACUGGGACUGAGACACGGCCCAGACUCCUUCGGGAGGCAGCAGUAGGGAAUCUUCCGCAAUGGACGAAAGUCUGACGGAGCAACGCCGCGUGAACGAAGAAGGCCUUCGGGUCGUAAAGUUCUGUUGUUAGGGAAGAACAAGUACCAGAGUAACUGCUGGUACCUUGACGGUACCUAACCAGAAAGCCACGGCUAACUACGUGCCAGCAGCCGCGGUAAUACGUAGGUGGCAAGCGUUGUCCGGAAUUAUUGGGCGUAAAGCGCGCGCAGGUGGUUCCUUAAGUCUGAUGUGAAAGCCCACGGCUCAACCGUGGAGGGUCAUUGGAAACUGGGGAACUUGAGUGCAGAAGAGGAAAGUGGAAUUCCAAGU
RNAcentral lists this ribosomal RNA (614 nucleotides) under Bacillus sp. P1_1_5. RNAcentral's name for it is "bacterial SSU rRNA". It matches the Rfam family "Bacterial small subunit ribosomal RNA", at positions 75 to 674 of the family's 1533-position model. Lineage: Bacteria; Bacillati; Bacillota; Bacilli; Caryophanales; Bacillaceae. The record is from RNAcentral.